RNAcentral lists this long non-coding RNA (3961 nucleotides) under Olea europaea subsp. europaea. Lineage: Eukaryota; Viridiplantae; Streptophyta; Magnoliopsida; Lamiales; Oleaceae. The record is from RNAcentral.
AUUUUUUUGGGGAUCUUGAAAGAAGUUUGUUGAUAUUUUUUAUUAAAUCUUUUUGUUCCUUGAUUUUCCAGGGGAAAUAAAUUGUUGUCAUUAGAAAAUUAUUUAUUGAUUUUUUUGUCGUUGAUUAGUUUGUCAUGAACUUAUGGGGAUUUGUUCUAAUAAAGAAUGCAGAUAUAAAAUCCAAGUGUAAUGAUAUCAGAGUGGAUUAUUGAGGUUAUGCACUUCUUUGCGUUACUAAAAAAUUCAGUGCAAUUAGUUAAGCUAAGCUAGAAACACUUGAAUUAUGUCACUUCACUGCUGUCAUGCUCUGAUGUUUUAUUUGAUCUUUCCCUUCAGUGUUUGCUAGAACUGUGCCACCUUUUGCUAGUAAGUUGAAGUUCUUUUGUCUCUACCUUCAUUUAUGUAACUAAGCAUAUCAGAAUGAUGGUUGGAUGUCAAAUGAUCUAAAGGUUGGAUGAAUGAAGUAAAAAUGAAGGCUCCAAAAAAAAAAAAGAAAAGAAAGGGUUGUGCCGUACUUUCAAUUUCAAGAUGAUAGAAUUAGGGGAGGAUUUAUCAGAUUCUGAAUCUCCCCAUUUUCUUGGAAGUUCUGUGGUAAAAUAAAACACCAUGGAGUUUAGAUAAUCUUGAAGAAAUGAACAAGUCUCGGGUGCUUUUGCAGUUAGUUUGGUUGAAUGAUCAAGAUCUAGUAGGUAUCUGAUGUUACAAAUUUGAAGUGCUCCUCAUUUGUCCACAUACCUUUUGCCUUCUGAGGUCAGUGACAUGAUCUUAGACAAAGAUGAAAUGAAGAAUCAUUUGAAGUGCUCCAGUGUUCACAUACCUUUUGCUCAGGUCCUCUACUCUGUAGUGUUUGCUUUUGGAGCCACAUUUCUCUUCUUUCUCCAGUUCAAACAUAAUAAUAUGGAGAAGCUAUGAUAAUUUUGGGGCUGUCCACUUGAUUACAUGUGUUUCAUAUGAAAUACAUGUGGUGUUUCUCUGCUAUUCCACAAUUCCAAGUAUAACCAAGGAGCUCAUAUUUAAGGUAAUGUUGGGACUCCUUUUCAGACAACUGAUAACUAAUCAACUUUCUGUUACCUUGUCAUCUGAUAUAUUAUGGAGUUGAAUUUAGGUUAGGUAUGAACUGUUGGAAGCCACUCUUGAGGGGUAUCCUUGCAGCUGGAGUCCAGCUCUAAGCUGUAUUUUUUCACAGAUGCUGCACACUAAGUGUAGGAGGCUUGAAUCUUAUUUGGGCAUUUGGUAUUUAUUAUUCAGUGGUGCCUGUUGAAUUCAAAAUUUUCUUCUACCUUGUAUGUAGCCUUGAUGGAAUAUUUGUCUGUGUCUCGUUUUUCUUGUGUUGUACCUGAGUGCGCGUCUUAAGCUUUCCGUAUCGAAGAGGAAAGUUGCAAUCAGCUCUGGAAAUAUUAAGUGUCAGAAAUAUACAGAACAUGCACUAUUAGCUUGCUAAUAACAAUCAACACCUAUGACGAUAUGCUCGAUAUGGAUGGUUUUGACUAGCAAGUUCGAAGGAGCUCUCCCCCACUGUAAUCCACACUUUUCCCUGCACAGUCAAUUAUUGUUUGGCGGACGGACCAAAGGAUAUAUAAAUACAAGUUUACUAGGAGGCAUAUUCAGUACGCAAUAUUUUUUCCAUUUAACUAUUACUCUAAAAUUUUGCCUCAUACCCUAUUCAGUCUCUUUGAUUACCCUUUGUUGUUACAAAUUGGUUUUUUAUUCUUUGGAUCAAGUUAGAUUGACAGUGUCAAGUAUGUAGAUGCUUACAUGAUCAUAAAUAAGUCCAUUUCACGCUUGCAUAUUUUGCUCGUAGACAAAACUUCUGUAUAAUCCCACUACUGGCCCAUAAAAUGAGGAAUUGGUGGAGAAAUAUAAAUGAUACUUGGAACUAGAAAGUUCAUUUUACCAGUAUUUCUCAUCUAAUUCACUAUUUUGUGUCUUUCAAUAUUUCGUAACAUCUAUGCACAAUUCUGGUUGUUGGUAAGUCAUAUUUUUAAGGGAACCAAGACAAUAUUAAAAAAAAUGGCAAGAUGUUCUUGGAUUUGCUGCAUACUAUACUGUGUUUUAAAGUUGUUUCAUUGUGUGUGUGUGUUGGUUUUAUGUAGUUGACUCUUUUAACUCUGCCUGUGUUGCAUGUUUGCUCGACACAGCCGGUCCCAAGCCCGGAAAAGGAGGAGGGUUUGAGUCAACAGAUGUGAUCUCAAUGUUUUUUAAUUAUCUCUGCAUUUGUGUUUUUUCUGCCUAUUAUUAGGUUGCCUUUACUCUCAACUCUUUCUGAUUGUCCGCAUCUUUUCUCUGUGUUGCUGGUUAAACUUUUGAAUAUUAAUUACAUCGAGAGUGUUGAAGGCUUUAUUCUUGUAGUUGGGUAGGAGAAUUGAAUGAUCUUUUCUCUGUGUUGCUGGUUCAACUUUUGGAAUAUUAAUUACAUCGAGAGUGUUGAAGGCUUUAUUCUUGUAGUUGGGUAGGAGAAUUGAAUGAUCUGGCGCUAACAUAAUAAUCUUGAUUUCCAUUCCUUGACUCUACUUGUGGAUUUCACCUUAUUUUUGGCAGUUAGAUGUAACUGGUUCUAGAUGAGCUGUGUUCACGGCUGGCCAUUAAACUUUUGCAGUGGAAUCCAAAAUGAACUCUUCUUCAUUUGCCAAGUUGCACGAACCAUUUUAGGUGCGCUGUCUCUUAAGAGUAAGUUCUACUUGCCCUAUUAUUUAUCCCAUAAUCUGUUUCUUGCUUUGAAAUGACUUAUUAUUUUUAAUUUAAACUAUGUGCUCACUGGUAUGGGGAAUGAGAACUUCUAACCAACCAUGUUCAUGAUAUCCACGGAAGUCAAAACUGUAAGAUGCCACAUUGUGAAUAUAUUAAUUUCAAAGGGCGUUAUAUAUUAAAUGGAAAAGUGUUCUUGGUUGUUCUGCAUGUUACACUGUAUUCAAAAGUUGCUUUAUUGUGUCAAUUUAUGUUUUUAUCUAAUAAUAGGCUCUUGUAAUUCCAUCUGUGUCAGUCCAUAUCUAAGAUAAGGUAACAUUUAAGAAAAUAGUAUAGCUCAAGUUACCUAUCUGAGAGAACUCGUGACAGUCCUAUUGACACACCCCUGAUCAUCAUUAAAAUUUAUUAUUGUAACUUGUUAGAUAUUACCUACUAGUAUAGCAGCGAAAUGAAAUAGUCAUUUAACUACAUUAAAUGUAUGUAAGAAAAUGCCCUCGAUCUGUUUAGUUCAGUUCUGUGUGAUGUUUUCUGGAAAUUUUCUUCGACUCACUUUGGCAUACGGUCAUAGAAUUCAUUAAUUUGCUUGUACAGUCCAAAUUUUACUAGAAUCAAUAAUUAUGAUUAACGUGGCAAAGAUUGCAUAAAUAUAUUUUUAAGACUUCACUGCUUUCCCAAAUUUACUAGAAAUGCAGGAGGGAAGUAAUGAUGGUCAAGAAAAGCUAUCAUUCUAUAUUUUCUUGUUUGCAAGUUCCAUAACUGAAAGGUUUCUCAGAGCUGGACCCAGCUGCAACCGCAUUAGACAUUAGAGCUUCUUCAGGUAAUGGGUCCUAGGGAAGUAGAGAUGACAGAAAAGAGACCGCAUCUGAGGAGGCUUAGAAGGGUAUCCAGGGAAGCAGCCUUGAACAAUUGUGCAGAAUACUGGUUUUGUAUAAUUCAAGGAGAAUGGCGUUUUGGUGUGGAAUUGGAAUUUGGUGGGAUAAUUUUGUUCUUUCUUUUGAACUCAAUAAAUGUGUAGGGUAUAGAUCAAAUCUAUAAAUUGAGCAUAGUUGAGAGGAUGAAGAGCUUUAUUCUUCUUUCAUGUAUGAGAUAAUCUUUGGACAUAUCUAUAAAUCUCACUCUCAGAACUCUGGCAUCGUGUGCUUGUACAUUUUGUAGUGCUGGAAUUCUGAAUUUUGUAUCUGCUUUCCACUUCAAUCAGAAUUUGGACAACUGGGUUUUCAGAUUUUAAUAAAAAUUUCUUUCGCAUUAGUUUUUUUAAAGAUGAAGACUUUAAGAC